UAAGUUUCAAGUCUUUGACUCUGUUCCAGCGUAAGGUUUGAAAGGUCGUAGUACGUGGGGUUGAGGCGUGCCCCAUGGCAAAGCGCGUGUACCAAGUCUGGAAAGGAAGCAAUUAUUUUUUUCUAGGUGGAAGGUUGAUUUUUGGGCCGGAUGCAAAGUCGUUGCUUAUCAGCUUAUUGCUUAUCAUAGUGCCCGUCACUGUUUUCUGUGUGUUCGUUGCAAGGCAUUUGCGCCAUGAGUUCCCAUCGUACAAUGCAGGAUAUGCUAUCUUGGUAGUAGCAAUUGUUUUCACCAUCCAUGUACUGGUGCUGCUGCUUCUUACAUCAGCUCGAGAUCCAGGUAUUGUUCCACGUAAUUCUCAUCCACCAGAGGAGGAGUUCCGUCAUGAACUUUCUGCAUCGGUAGAGGGUGGAAGACAAACGCCCAGCCUUCAAUUUCCCCGAACAAAAGAAGUAAUUGUUAAUGGGAUGCCAGUCAGAGUGAAAUAUUGUGAUACCUGCAUGCUAUAUCGCCCUCCACGUUGUUCGCAUUGCUCCAUCUGUAACAAUUGUGUGGAGCGAUUUGAUCACCACUGCCCAUG
This 580-nucleotide unclassified non-coding RNA is filed under the name Hevea brasiliensis (rubber tree). The record is from RNAcentral. Lineage: Eukaryota; Viridiplantae; Streptophyta; Magnoliopsida; Malpighiales; Euphorbiaceae.